UGAGGAAUAUUGGUCAAUGGGCGGGAGCCUGAACCAGCCAAGCCGCGUGAGGGAAGAAGGUACAGCGUAUCGUAAACCUCUUUUGUCAGGGAACAAAGGCGGGGACUAGUCCCCGGAUGAGGGUACCUGAAGAAAAAAGCAUCGGCUAACUCCGUGCC
This 158-nucleotide ribosomal RNA is filed under the name uncultured bacterium. Its description in RNAcentral is "partial 16S ribosomal RNA". It matches the Rfam family "Bacterial small subunit ribosomal RNA", at positions 355 to 509 of the family's 1533-position model. The record is from RNAcentral.